GACGAACGCUGGCGGCGUGCUUAACACAUGCAAGUCGAACGAAGAGCGACGGAAGCUUGCUUCUAUCAAUCUUAGUGGCGAACGGGUGAGUAACGCGUAAUCAACCUGCCCUUCAGAGGGGGACAACAGUUGGAAACGACUGCUAAUACCGCAUACGAUCUAACCUCGGCAUCGAGGAUAGAUGAAAGGUGGCCUCUACAUGUAAGCUAUCACUGAAGGAGGGGAUUGCGUCUGAUUAGCUAGUUGGAGGGGUAACGGCCCACCAAGGCGAUGAUCAGUAGCCGGUCUGAGAGGAUGAACGGCCACAUUGGGACUGAGACACGGCCCAGACUCCUACGGGAGGCAGCAGUGGGGAAUCUUCCGCAAUGGACGAAAGUCUGACGGAGCAACGCCGCGUGAGUGAUGACGGCCUUCGGGUUGUAAAGCUCUGUUAAUCGGGACGAAAGGCCUUCUUGCGAAUAGUGAGAAGGAUUGACGGUACCGGAAUAGAAAGCCACGGCUAACUACGU
RNAcentral lists this ribosomal RNA (509 nucleotides) under uncultured bacterium. Its description in RNAcentral is "partial 16S ribosomal RNA". It matches the Rfam family "Bacterial small subunit ribosomal RNA", at positions 28 to 506 of the family's 1533-position model. The record is from RNAcentral.